UCCGUAGGUGAACCUGCGGAAGGAUCAUUACCUAGAGUUUGUAGACUUCGGUCUGCUACCUCUUACCCAUGUCUUUUGAGUACCUUCGUUUCCUCGGCGGGUCCGCCCGCCGAUUGGACAACAUUCAAACCCCUUGCAGUUGCAAUCAGCGUCUGAAAAAACAUAAUAGUUACAACUUUCAACAACGGAUCUCUUGGUUCUGGCAUCGAUGAAGAACGCAGCGAAAUGCGAUAAGUAGUGUGAAUUGCAGAAUUCAGUGAAUCAUCGAAUCUUUGAACGCACAUUGCGCCCCUUGGUAUUCCAUGGGGCAUGCCUGUUCGAGCGUCAUUUGUACCUUCAAGCUCUGCUUGGUGUUGGGUGUUUUGUCUCGCCUCUGCGUGUAGACUCGCCUUAAAACAAUUGGCAGCCGGCGUAUUGAUUUCGGAGCGCAGUACAUCUCGCGCUUUGCACUCAUAACGGCGACGUCCAAAAGUACAUUUUUACACUCUUGACCUCGGAUCAGGUAGGGAUACCCGCUGAACUUAAGCAUAUCAAUAAGCGGAGGA
This 545-nucleotide ribosomal RNA is filed under the name Epicoccum nigrum. RNAcentral describes it as "eukaryotic LSU rRNA". The stretch from base 174 to 327 matches the Rfam family "5.8S ribosomal RNA". Lineage: Eukaryota; Fungi; Ascomycota; Dothideomycetes; Pleosporales; Didymellaceae. The record is from RNAcentral.